AUUAAUGCUGUGUUUGCAGCCGGAAAAAGUUCACUGACAAUGAGGCGAAGAGAUGGUGGGAUGAAAACCAGCAAAUAGUAUGUCAAUAUUACAGUAUUGAUGGUUAUUGAAGUUCCACAAAAAACCGAUAAGGUGCAUAAUUUUUGUUCUCUCACUCUUCACACCCAUGUUUUGCUGACGCGCUGAAAGUACAAUGGUUUCACUUGUCAUUCCACGAUUCAAUAUGAUUGAAAUCGAAUGCUGCAAGGCAAAAAUCAUUCUGUCUUGGCUUUAGAUUGCACAUUCUCAUGAAAGGCAAAUUGCAAACGUGUUCAUAAAUUAUGUCGGAAUGCAAAUUUCCUUUUGCAUCCAUAGUAUAUGUAUUGGAUAAAAUGCUAGAAACACAGUAAAUCCAAUUUAUAGUUUUAGUACGAGGUUGCAUGUCUUCUUUAGAAUAAUAGCUUAUUUGAGUACGUGAGUUCUAUGAAUUGUAUAGUGGUCCAUAAUCAUGGAGGGACAGUAUUGUCUUCCAUUUACAAAAUUUUUCCGGCAAUUAGAGCAUUGUAAUUGCAGAAAAAUUGCAUUGUCAUCAUAAUUGGGUACUAUUGACUUAUUUGAAGUUCUUACUUCCGGAAAU
RNAcentral lists this long non-coding RNA (616 nucleotides) under Olea europaea (common olive). RNAcentral's name for it is "long non-coding RNA (OEUR_LNC003473)". The record is from RNAcentral. Lineage: Eukaryota; Viridiplantae; Streptophyta; Magnoliopsida; Lamiales; Oleaceae.